GAAACGACUCUCGGCAACGGAUAUCUCGGCUCUCGCAUC
RNAcentral lists this ribosomal RNA (39 nucleotides) under Moeroris fraterna. Its description in RNAcentral is "Phyllanthus fraternus partial 5.8S ribosomal RNA". The record is from RNAcentral. Lineage: Eukaryota; Viridiplantae; Streptophyta; Magnoliopsida; Malpighiales; Phyllanthaceae.